This 600-nucleotide ribosomal RNA is filed under the name uncultured bacterium. Its description in RNAcentral is "bacterial SSU rRNA". It matches the Rfam family "Bacterial small subunit ribosomal RNA", at positions 85 to 681 of the family's 1533-position model. The record is from RNAcentral.
CCCUGAUUCAGCGGCGGACGGGUGAGUAAUGCCUAGGAAUCUGCCUGGUAGUGGGGGACAACGUUUCGAAAGGAACGCUAAUACCGCAUACGUCCUACGGGAGAAAGCAGGGGACCUUCGGGCCUUGCGCUAUCAGAUGAGCCUAGGUCGGAUUAGCUAGUUGGUGAGGUAAUGGCUCACCAAGGCGACGAUCCGUAACUGGUCUGAGAGGAUGAUCAGUCACACUGGAACUGAGACACGGUCCAGACUCCUACGGGAGGCAGCAGUGGGGAAUAUUGGACAAUGGGCGAAAGCCUGAUCCAGCCAUGCCGCGUGUGUGAAGAAGGUCUUCGGAUUGUAAAGCACUUUAAGUUGGGAGGAAGGGCAUUAACCUAAUACGUUAGUGUUUUGACGUUACCGACAGAAUAAGCACCGGCUAACUUCGUGCCAGCAGCCGCGGUAAUACGAAGGGUGCAAGCGUUAAUCGGAAUUACUGGGCGUAAAGCGCGCGUAGGUGGUUUGUUAAGUUGGAUGUGAAAGCCCCGGGCUCAACCUGGGAACUGCAUCCAAAACUGGCAAGCUAGAGUAUGGCAGAGGGUGGUGGAAUUUCCUGUGUAGCGG